AGAGAGAGAGAGGUCAGAAUGAGAUGAGAGAAAAGAGAGGAGAUGAGAGAGAGAGAGAGAAAUGAAAGAGAGAUCCGGAAUGAGAGGAGAGAGAUAGAUAAGUUAUGGGUAGAAAAGUAAUUCUAUUAAGUUUAAUUGAAAUGGGCAUAGGAAAAAGUUUUUCAUUGGGGUGGGCAAAACCUUUAAAAUUAGUACUAAAGUGUCAUUUACUCUAUUUUAUUUUAAUUUUUUAUUACAUUUAGUUCAAUCAUUAACAAAUCUGAAUUUUUUUUAUAGUUUUUUGUUUUAUUUGAUAAAAUUCUAUUAGAUAUAUGUAUAUAAUAGGCCCGGCCCGGCCCUGAUAAGCCUGUAAGACGGGUACCGGCUCGGGCCUGUGGGUUUUGAAUUUUUUGAAUAGCCCAACCUAGCCCGGUCUUAAAAUUUAAAAAAUCAUGAUUGAGGCGAGGGCCGGCCCUACCCGAACCCGUAUGUAUAGGAAUAUAUAUAUAGUUGAAUAUACAUAAAAGAACAUAGUUGAAUAUAUACGAAUAUAUAGUUCCUAUCCAGAGCGAAGCUUCGCUCUGAAAUUAAAGUGUGAAGGUCCUUUUUUGGCUCACUUUACGGUCACAUAUCCACAUCUCCGCCGUUUAGUUUUUAGAACCUAAUGUAUAAAUCACUUCUGCCAAGUUUCAUCCAAUUGAACCGUAAACUGAACGGUGGAGAUGUAGAUACGUGACCGAAAAGUGAGCCAAAAAAUGACCUUCACACUUUAAUUUCAUAGCGAAGCUUCGCUCUGAAUAGGAACUGUACGAAUAUAUAGUCGAAUACUACUUUGCUCGUGGAAAGUGGAAACACAAAAGAACCAUACAUAAACUCAGAGGUGUAUCUGACAGUUUCCCGUAGCAUGUAUGAUUUCAAAAUUGACAUGAAGGGAGGCAAUAAUGAUGAGUUUGAAUGUUUAGGGUUUAUAUGUUGGAAUGGUGUGAAUGAAAUUUGAAAUAGUAGGUAAAGAGAGGCUGGCAUGGACACCCUUUUGCCGGACAAGAAAACAAGGGGUGCCCCGACGGCGGUGGCAAACUCCAUUAUUUCUGGUCAGAAACUAAAAGAAAAAGGAGAGAGAAUAUUCACUAUUGAUUCAUUGAAUUGUUGUAUGAACUUUGAAACAUGGUGCUGGUGUGAACUUGUACACAGCGAAGACAUGAACAAUAUGAAAUGCUCGAUCAGUUUGCUUAACUAGUAUACCUUUGGAAUCUAUCAGUCUCUUUCUCUGCGAAGCUCGGGACAUGAUGAGACAGCCAAAUAUUCUCUAUGAUCAGCGAAUCCUGGACAAGGGUCGUCGGUCUCUCACUCUCUCCCAUCAAACUUUCACUAGCUUGCUACUCAUCUAAUUGGUCAAUUAUAAGCUAGUUUCGCAAGUUAAGUAGUAUUAUUACAGGCAUGUUGUUGCUUAUUUUGUUUUUAAUUUGAAAAAAAAAUGACUGUAUCAUCAAUUAUUGAACUCGAGUCGUAGCAUCAAGUGAAUUCCAAAAACGAUGUUUGGAAAGUCUAACCAGCUAGCAUUUGAAUUUUCCUUAAUCUACUGCUAUUGUAGG
RNAcentral lists this long non-coding RNA (1571 nucleotides) under Fragaria vesca (wild strawberry). RNAcentral describes it as "long non-coding RNA (FVES_LNC001505)". The record is from RNAcentral. Lineage: Eukaryota; Viridiplantae; Streptophyta; Magnoliopsida; Rosales; Rosaceae.